CCAAUAGCGUAUAUUAAAGUUGUUGCAGUUAAAAAGCUCGUAGUUGAAUUUCGGGGUUAGUAGAUCGGUCGUGCCACUGGUAUGUACUGGUCUCACUGAUUCCUCCUUCCUGAUGAACCGUAAUGCCAUUAAUUUGGUGUUGCGGGGAGACUGGACUGUUACUUUGAAAAAAUUAGAGUGUUUAAAGCAGGCUAACGCUUGAAUACAUUAGCAUGGAAUAACGGAAUAGGAGGUUCGAUCUUAUUUUGUUGGUUUCUAAGAUUGACGUAAUGAUUAAUAGGGAUAGUUGGGGGCAUUAGUAUUCAAUUGUCAGAGGUGAAAUUCUUGGAUUUAUUGAAGACUAACUACUGCGAAAGCAUUUGCCAAGGAUGUUUUCAUUAAUCAAGAACGAAAGUUAGGGGAUCGAAGACGAUCAGAUACCGUCGUAGUCUUAACCAUAAACUAUGCCGACUAGGAAUCGGAUGAUGUUAAUUUUUUAAUGACUCAUUCGGCGCCUUACG
Molecule: ribosomal RNA, 500 nt
Filed under: uncultured Glomeromycotina
Lineage: Eukaryota; Fungi; Glomeromycota
Description: partial small subunit ribosomal RNA
Rfam family: Eukaryotic small subunit ribosomal RNA
Source: RNAcentral